GUCCCGUUCGUCUAGAGGCCUAGGACACCGCCCUUUCNNNCACGGCGGUAACAGGGGUUCGACUCCCCUACGGGAUACCA
This 80-nucleotide transfer RNA is filed under the name Vibrio cholerae. RNAcentral's name for it is "tRNA-Glu". It matches the Rfam family "tRNA". Rfam says of the family: Transfer RNA (tRNA) molecules are approximately 80 nucleotides in length. Their secondary structure includes four short double-helical elements and three loops (D, anti-codon, and T loops). The record is from RNAcentral. Lineage: Bacteria; Pseudomonadati; Pseudomonadota; Gammaproteobacteria; Vibrionales; Vibrionaceae.